This 77-nucleotide transfer RNA is filed under the name Deinococcus metalli. RNAcentral describes it as "tRNA-Arg". It matches the Rfam family "tRNA". Rfam says of the family: Transfer RNA (tRNA) molecules are approximately 80 nucleotides in length. Lineage: Bacteria; Thermotogati; Deinococcota; Deinococci; Deinococcales; Deinococcaceae. RNAcentral also lists the same sequence under 2 other names. The record is from RNAcentral.
GCACCCGUAGCUCAGCUGGAUAGAGCGGCCCCCUCCUAAGGGGCAGGUCUCGCGUUCGAAUCGCGACGGGUGCACCA